UACGGGGGGGGCAAGCGUUGUUCGGAAUUACUGGGCGUAAAGGGCUCGUAGGCGGCCAACUAAGUCAGACGUGAAAUCCCUCGGCUUAACCGGGGAACUGCGUCUGAUACUGGAUGGCUUGAGGUUGGGAGAGGGAUGCGGAAUUCCAGGUGUAGCGGUGAAAUGCGUAGAUAUCUGGAGGAACACCGGUGGCGAAGGCGGCAUCCUGGACCGGUAUUGGCGCUGAGGCGCGAAAGCUAGGGGAGCAAACGGG
This 253-nucleotide ribosomal RNA is filed under the name uncultured bacterium. RNAcentral describes it as "partial 16S ribosomal RNA". It matches the Rfam family "Bacterial small subunit ribosomal RNA", at positions 524 to 776 of the family's 1533-position model. The record is from RNAcentral.